ACGGAAGGAGCAGUGGGGAAUAUUGGACAAUGGGGGAAACCCUGAUCCAGCGACGCCGCGUGAGUGAAGAAGUAUUUCGGUAUGUAAAGCUCUAUCAGCAGGGAAGAUGAUGACGGUACCUGACUAAGAAGCCCCGGCUAACUACGUGCCAGCAGCCGCGGUAAUACGUAGGGGGCAAGCGUUAUCCGGAUUUACUGGGUGUAAAGGGAGCGUAGGCGGUCAGACAAGUCAGAUGUGAAAGCCCGGGGCUUAACUCCGGGACUGCAUUUGAAACUGUAUGACUAGGGUACUGGAGAGGCAAGCGGAAUUCCUAGUGUAGCGGUGAAAUGCGUAGAUAUUAGGAAGGACACCGGUGGCGAAGGCGGCUUGCUGGACAGAGACUGACGCUGAGGCUCGAAAGCGUGGGGAGCAAACAGGAUUAGAUACCCUGGUA
RNAcentral lists this ribosomal RNA (433 nucleotides) under uncultured Lachnospiraceae bacterium. RNAcentral's name for it is "partial 16S ribosomal RNA". It matches the Rfam family "Bacterial small subunit ribosomal RNA", at positions 341 to 792 of the family's 1533-position model. The record is from RNAcentral. Lineage: Bacteria; Bacillati; Bacillota; Clostridia; Lachnospirales; Lachnospiraceae.